RNAcentral lists this unclassified non-coding RNA (332 nucleotides) under soil metagenome. RNAcentral describes it as "partial contains 5.8S ribosomal RNA, internal transcribed spacer 2, and large subunit ribosomal RNA". The stretch from base 1 to 120 matches the Rfam family "5.8S ribosomal RNA", at positions 35 to 154 of the family's 154-position model. The record is from RNAcentral.
GAUGAAGAACGUAGCGAAAUGCGAUAAGUAAUGUGAAUUGCAGAAUUCCGUGAAUCAUCGAAUCUUUGAACGCACAUUGCGCCCUUUGGUAUUCCUUAGGGCAUGCCUGUUCGAGCGUCAUUUAAACCUUCAAGCUAAGCUUGGUGUUGGGUGACUGUCCGCUUCACGGCGGACUCGCCUCAAAAUUAUUGGCGGCCGGUACAUUGGCUUCGAGCGCAGCAGAAACGCGAACUCGGGCCCGUCGUAUUGGCUCCCAGAAGCUAUCUUCACAAUUUUGACCUCGGAUCAGGUAGGGAUAGCCGCUGAACUUAAGCAUAUCAAUAAGCGGAGGA